Molecule: long non-coding RNA, 243 nt
Organism: Girardinichthys multiradiatus
Lineage: Eukaryota; Metazoa; Chordata; Actinopteri; Cyprinodontiformes; Goodeidae
Exons: 2
Source: RefSeq, a predicted model, not a curated record
UAGAUCCCCCUGAAGCACAAACCAGAGUUGGAAUCUCACAAUAUGAAGAAAAAUAAAAAUUUGAUCUACCAUAAGAAAGAGAAAAUAUCUGUUAAUGCAGCCAAUUGUUACAGAGAAAACUACAGAACAGUGAUGAAUCACCAGAAGGAACUGCCAAGCAAGAAAAAGAAGACUUUAGGGAGGGAGACGGAAUUAUUGAGGAGCAUACAAAAGGUUUAACAAACUCUGUCAAGAUUAGAGACA